UACGUAGGGACCGAGCGUUGUCCGGAAUCACUGGGCGUAAAGCGCACGUAGGCGGCUUUUUAAGUCAGGGGUGAAAUCCUGGAGCUCAACUCCAGAACUGCCUUUGAUACUGGGAAGCUUGAGUCCGGGAGAGGUGAGUGGAACUCCGAGUGUAGAGGUGAAAUUCGUAGAUAUUCGGAAGAACACCAGUGGCGAAGGCGGCUCACUGGCCCGGUACUGACGCUGAGGUGCGAAAGCGUGGGGAGCAAACAGG
RNAcentral lists this ribosomal RNA (253 nucleotides) under uncultured bacterium. RNAcentral's name for it is "partial 16S ribosomal RNA". It matches the Rfam family "Bacterial small subunit ribosomal RNA", at positions 524 to 776 of the family's 1533-position model. The record is from RNAcentral.